This 496-nucleotide ribosomal RNA is filed under the name uncultured bacterium. Its description in RNAcentral is "partial 16S ribosomal RNA". It matches the Rfam family "Bacterial small subunit ribosomal RNA", at positions 30 to 523 of the family's 1533-position model. The record is from RNAcentral.
AUUGAACGCUGGCGGAAUGCUUUACACAUGCAAGUCGAACGGUAGAGGGGGCAACCCCUCGAGAGUGGCGAACGGGUGAGUAAUAUAUCGGAACGUGCCCAGUCGUGGGGGAUAACGUAGCGAAAGUUACGCUAAUACCGCAUACGAUCUAAGGAUGAAAGUGGGGGACCGCAAGGCCUCAUGCUAUAGGAGCGGCCGAUGUCUGAUUAGCUAGUUGGUGGGGUAAAGGCCUACCAAGGCGACGAUCAGUAGCUGGUCUGAGAGGACGAUCAGCCACACUGGGACUGAGACACGGCCCAGACUCCUACGGGAGGCAGCAGUGGGGAAUUUUGGACAAUGGGCGAAAGCCUGAUCCAGCAAUGCCGCGUGUGUGAAGAAGGCCUUCGGGUUGUAAAGCACUUUUGUCCGGAAAGAAAUGGCUCUGGUUAAUACCUGGGGUCGAUGACGGUACCGGAAGAAUAAGGACCGGCUAACUACGUGCCAGCCGCCGCAGUAA